UACUAGUAAUCUCACAAACCUCAAGGACAGAGAAAUGAGAAAUACUUUCCCUCCAAGAGAUCAUGGGAGCAGGGGAACCCAAGCACUGAACUGGACUCAACUACUUCCACACUCAGGAAAGGAAUGGAAGAGCCCGCCGCUCACUGACUUGCUGAAUAGCCAAUCGCCCUGCCUCUGAGAGUUCUAUAUAUACUGUGGACGUCCUGAUUACUUCUUUUCCUGGCUUGGCUCUUGCGUCGUCCCUCGCUGACUCAAUCCUAGAUGACUCGAUCCUUGCUGACUUCCAGCUUGCCUGCCCUGAUGUAUUAUUGCUACCUCCUCAGGCCAUUCAUUGGAGUAAGGUGGUCAUUUGAUGGCACUGAAGACCGGCAAGGACAGUCAUCUCCCUUCUGU
This is a non-coding RNA of Thamnophis sirtalis, 393 nucleotides long. NCBI's taxonomy places the organism in Eukaryota, Metazoa, Chordata, Lepidosauria, Squamata, Natricidae. The record is from RefSeq and is a predicted model, not a curated record.